CCAACCCGAGACUGCAAGUACAUGUAGGCUGAAGAGGGUCAGAUCGUGCAUCGACUGGAGGAAGGUUGGACCUCCAACAAGAAGGAUGCAUGGGAGGACAUGCAUCCGAGCCAAGCCAAGGUAGAAUCCUCCCGAUCGAUGAAAGCUCUGUGCUUAAGAAGUCCACCUCAGUGCUAUAACAGCUAUGCCUUGUUGACUGCCUUUUGAACCUAAAUUCUUAUGGAGAUUAAGGGUAAAGAGUACCUCUAUCGAUCGCAACUGAUGAAGACCUCGUCAACCCAAUGGAACAAGUGAAAGUAUUGCCACCUCUAUUGUGAUCAUGAUCACGAUACUGAGGAAUGUCUCCAGCUGAAGGAUGAGAUUGAGAACUUCAUCCAUCGAGGCUACCUCGAUAAAUAUAUUUGGGACCACC
Molecule: long non-coding RNA, 412 nt
Filed under: Elaeis guineensis (African oil palm)
Lineage: Eukaryota; Viridiplantae; Streptophyta; Magnoliopsida; Arecales; Arecaceae
Description: long non-coding RNA (EGUI_LNC035658)
Source: RNAcentral